GUGGAGGAAGGAGAAUGGCGUGAACCCGGGAGCCAGAGCUUGCAGUGAGCGGAAAUCAUGCCACUGCACUGCAGCCUGGGCAAUAGAGCCAGACUCCAUCUCAAAAAAAAAAAAAAAGAAAGAAAUGAAGGAUGAAGGUGAUAGUAGAAAGUUGUAAAAAUAUCCCCUUUUUUUUUGAGAAAAAGUCUUACACUGUGUCACCCAGGCUGGAGUGCAGUGGCACAAUCUUGGCUCACCGCAACCUCUGCCUCUCAGAUUCAAGUGAUUCUUCUUCCUCAGCCUCCCAAGUAGCUGGGAUUACAGGCACCCACCACCAUGCCCAGCUAAUUUUUUUGUAUGUUUAGUAGAGACGGGGUUUCACCCUGUUGGCCAGGCUGGUCUUGAACUCCUGAUCUCAAGUGAUCUCCCCACCUCAGCCUCCCAAAGUGCUGAGAUUUCAGGCGUGAGCCACCAUGCCCAGCUAAAAAUAUACUUUCUUGGCAAAGUAAAAAGCUUGCAAAUGCAUAUUUGUCUUUCCAAUUUUUUCCCUGUUAUCUGUGAAAUCAUCUGAUCAUUAGAUCUACUGCUUUAAAAGAUAAGCUUUUCAUGUAACUGUGAUGUUCUGUUUUAAUGGAAAAUUGACUUUUGCAGUAUGCCCCAAAGAAUAAAGCCCUCAAAGAAUGUGAGGCCUGAACUCACUUCAAAUGCUGGGAAGACGCUUUCCUUAGCUGAGCUGCGGAGGCACCAGGACUCCUGUGGCACUGCCCUAACGAGGAGGCAGUGCUGCCAAAUUCAGGUCUGCAAGACAGCUUUGGUUCAGCUGAUUGCAGCCAGGCUUACCCUGACUUUGCCGGGUGCUGUGAACCCCAGCCUUCAGGUCGAGUUCAGGUACGCUCUAUAUGUCUCCAUCGUUCUGGGACCAGUGGGUAUGUGGGACAAGUUCUUUUCAUGGCAAGUGGCAGACGCCUCUAGGCCAAGCCAAAUCACUCAAAUACAUUUAAAUUUCUGAUCAUGUUAUGUCUGCUAACAGGCCAUUGGCUAAUGAAGCUUACAUGGUCCAGCUCAAUCAACGGGGGUGAAGGAGAGGGCAAUCUAGAGGGGGUCCUGCCGAGUCAUAAGGCAAAGGGAGAGGAUGGGAAGAAGGCACUGUAAUGCAACCUACCACAGCCACAGAGGAGGAGAUGUAUCUUUUCUGCAGACAGUUACUAUUAAAGACAGAAAGGGACUAAAUCACUCCGUGUCGAUUUCACCAUUAGCAGCACCCCAUCCUGGUAAAAUUAGACAAAAAUGAAACUGCCUUCCUACUAGCUUUAGUGUGUGUAUAUUAAUAAUUCUUUCCCCAUAAUGUAUAAUGUCAGAC
Molecule: long non-coding RNA, 1339 nt
Filed under: Cercocebus atys (sooty mangabey)
Lineage: Eukaryota; Metazoa; Chordata; Mammalia; Primates; Cercopithecidae
Description: lncRNA (ENSCATG00000045600.1)
Source: RNAcentral